RNAcentral lists this ribosomal RNA (464 nucleotides) under uncultured bacterium. RNAcentral describes it as "partial 16S ribosomal RNA". It matches the Rfam family "Bacterial small subunit ribosomal RNA", at positions 339 to 795 of the family's 1533-position model. The record is from RNAcentral.
CUACGGGCCGCUGCAGUAGGGAAUCUUCGGCAAUGGACGGAAGUCUGACCGAGCAACGCCGCGUGAGUGAAGAAGGUUUUCGGAUCGUAAAGCUCUGUUGUAAGAGAAGAACGAGUGUGAGAGUGGAAAGUUCACACUGUGACGGUAUCUUACCAGAAAGGGACGGGUAACUACGUGCCAGCAGCCGCGGUAAUACGUAGGUCCCGAGCGUUGUCCGGAUUUAUUGGGCGUAAAGCGAGCGCAGGCGGUUAGAUAAGUCUGAAGUUAAAGGCUGUGGCUUAACCAUAGUACGCUUUGGAAACUGUUUAACUUGAGUGCAGAAGGGGAGAGUGGAAUUCCAUGUGUAGCGGUGAAAUGCGUAGAUAUAUGGAGGAACACCGGUGGCGAAAGCGGCUCUCUGGUCUGUAACUGACGCUGAGGCUCGAAAGCGUGGGGAGCAAACAGGAUUAGAUACCCCAGUAGUC